AACGCAUCUUGCGCCUCUUGGUAUUCCGAGAGGCACACUUGUUUGAGUGUCAUGACUAUCUCGAAUCUUAUAAGAAUCCUUAUAGGAUCGGAUUAUGAGUGUUGCUGUGCUAACAGCUCGCUUUAAAUGUAUUAGUCUCUUUAUGUCGGAUUGACUUGGUGUAAUAAGACUUUCACCAAAGGAUGCUUCUGCAGCCGACUGACAAGGUACUGCCAAAUUUACAACCCCAUUUAGACCUCAAAUCAAGUGGGACUACCCGCUGAACUUAA
This 269-nucleotide unclassified non-coding RNA is filed under the name uncultured fungus. RNAcentral describes it as "sequence contains ITS2". Lineage: Eukaryota; Fungi. The record is from RNAcentral.